This 252-nucleotide ribosomal RNA is filed under the name uncultured bacterium. Its description in RNAcentral is "partial 16S ribosomal RNA". It matches the Rfam family "Bacterial small subunit ribosomal RNA", at positions 524 to 776 of the family's 1533-position model. The record is from RNAcentral.
UACGGAGGAUGCGAGCGUUAUCCAGAUUUAUUGGGUUUAAAGGGUGCGUAGGCGGAUCGUUAAGUCAGUGGUCAAAUUGAGGGGCUCAACCCCUUCCCGCCAUUGAAACUGGCGAUCUUGAGUGGAAGAGAAGUAUGCGGAAUGCGUGGUGUAGCGGUGAAAUGCAUAGAUAUCACGCAGAACCCCGAUUGCGAAGGCAGCAUGCCGGCUUCCUACUGACGCUGAAGCACGAAAGCGUGGGGAUCGAACAGG